Camellia sinensis is the source of this 244-nucleotide non-coding RNA. The record is from RefSeq and is a predicted model, not a curated record. Lineage: Eukaryota; Viridiplantae; Streptophyta; Magnoliopsida; Ericales; Theaceae.
UUCAUCAUUUCAGAUUUCUGAGGUUACGAUUUCAGAGGUUGCGAUUUCAUCGCUCAGAUUUUCUGAUUAUCUGAAAAUCACCAAGUCGACUAUUUUUUUUCUUGAAAGGCUUGCAGAGAUACCAGAAAACAGAGUUUCUGCAAAGCAUUACGGUUAAUUUUCAGGUUAAAUUCUUUCAGGUCAGAAAUUUCUUGGAGAGAUGCAAAAUAUGGUCAAAGAAUUCAAGAACUUACUUUUUUCAAGU